UACGUAGGGUGCAAGCGUUAAUCGGAAUUACUGGGCGUAAAGCGUGCGCAGGCGGUUAUGUAAGUUAGAGGUGAAAGCCCGGGGCUCAACUCCGGAAUUGCCUUUAAGACUGCAUCGCUAGAAUUGUGGAGAGGUAAGUGGAAUUCCGAGUGUAGAGGUGAAAUUCGUAGAUAUUCGGAAGAACACCAGUGGCGAAGGCGACUUACUGGACACAUAUUGACGCUGAGGUGCGAAAGCGUGGGGAGCAAACAGG
This 253-nucleotide ribosomal RNA is filed under the name uncultured bacterium. RNAcentral describes it as "partial 16S ribosomal RNA". It matches the Rfam family "Bacterial small subunit ribosomal RNA", at positions 524 to 776 of the family's 1533-position model. The record is from RNAcentral.